Molecule: long non-coding RNA, 1339 nt
Organism: Cebus imitator (Panamanian white-faced capuchin)
Lineage: Eukaryota; Metazoa; Chordata; Mammalia; Primates; Cebidae
Exons: 2
Source: RefSeq, a predicted model, not a curated record
GAACCCGGCCCACAGUUAAUAUUUAAUACCUUGAUUUUUUUAACAAUUUUUUUCCUAUGCUUAAGUAUUUUUCUACCUUUGUUUCCUUCUGGUUUAUAUUUUCCAAUAUUCCUUCAAUGGUAUGAUUUGUAGUGAGCAAAUCAUGAUUUGUAGUGAGCCAGCCCUUCUUCAACUCAUCCCUCUGAAAUGUCUAUCAUUAAGAGCAUGACAAAAAUGUCUAAAGUCCCCUGGUGGUGGGGGUGGUGUUUCUGAAAAAUGCACACUCCUGGUCUCACUGCAGACCUGCUUAACUGGAAUUACUGUAUAUAUGCGGGCCUUAGGAAGCUGUGUUUUGACCAAGAGGCCAGGUGAUUCUUCUGCUGAGUUAGGGCUGGGAAACAGCACGAGGAGGGAUACAGUAGCUAGAAGUCGUCUUGCCUCUCUGUGAAGUCUUCACUGCCUCGUAGUAACGUCGUUCCCAAAUUCUCAGCAGGUGAACCAAAUGAAAUGGUCAACUAAAAGCCAACCAGGGUAAAACAGAUAUUUUAUUUCUUCUUCUUUUUAUUUUUUUUACAUGGGAGCAUUGACGUGCAUUUAUCCCCAGUCUCUCCUUGUGAGAAGUGAAUUUCUUCAACGUUUAUAGAACAGAGGCAUUCAUAUUAUUGGAUGAAUUAAGGGCAAAAAAUUGAACCUGAUGUGCGAAAAUUUCUGUUCGUGAGAAUCCAGGUUAUUUUAAUUAUCCAAUCAAGAGCCUAAUUCGUAUAAGAGAAACACAGCAGCUCACUGACUAUCUUUUUAACCGAGGACGGCUUGUCUUGACAGAGGGCAUCUGACUGUUUUGGGGAAACUAUUCCUGAUCUUAUUUCAACUAAAAAGCUGCUUGCUAUACCAGCAAAAGCAUCACCAUGAACCAACUCGCCCAAACUUCUCCAUGGAUGAGAUUACCCGGAAGACAGGAGUUCCGCUGCUUGUCUUGGUCUGAAUGUCUGCUUGUUACCUGCUUAGGGUUAUCGACUGUGAUUCUGGGAAUCAUUGUUGUUGUACAGGACCCUUCUGACUCUGUGGUUUUCUCUACUGGAUUAACAAUGAUAGCCAUAGGUGCUUUUUUUAUUGUCCUUACUGGAUUGAUAGCCCUGUGCAUAGUUAGAGUCGAUGAGAACUUGGAGCAAAUCACAAGGCUGAGUCUAGGAGUGACACAAAGAAGCAGAAGUUCCCCAGGAACUACAGAGCCGUCCACGGCUCAGUCAGUGAUUGCCAGCACUGCACUGUAGCUAUACAUUAAACCCUGGAAUCUUCCUCUUUGGAACCAAGUCUCCUGAGCAUUGUUUUUAAAUACAAAUAAAAUCUGGCUUUUAAGAAA